GGACAUCUUUAGCACUUGCUUUCCAUGAUGAACCGAUGGUGCAGAGUAACUAUAAAUUCGUGAUGCUUGUUGGAGUGGUCGUGGACUUUUGAAAUCAUUUAUGAAGCUUCAUACUAACUGAUACAAUGGUAAAUGUCAAAUCAAAAGGAUUACAUACAAUUAUAGAUCCGUAUUAUCGCAGUCAUUUAUUAUGUAAACUCACGUGGACAGUAAAUAGACUUCAAACUUGUAUCGGAGGAAUUUUUCUAAGGGCAUUUGCUCCAUAUACAGAUAUUAGAGGAAAUAAUGACAAAUACUUGGUUUUGAGCCUAGUAACGACAAGCAAAAAUGAAAGAUUAGCAGAAAUACCGUUUUCUUUAGACUUAAUUCUCUGAGACUCCUAAUGGAAAUAAAUUUUCACAAACAUUUUCAUACAUAAGUGGCCAGGUUAUGAUGAAUGAAAGUAUUUUGGUUGAAUGAGCGGCCAUCAGAUUGGUAAUGAACGGUAUCAAUGAAUAACAAAUCAAUUCCUUAGGGUACUGUUCGUGAGCAAAUUAUUGAUCCGAGUAACGAAAUUGAGCUAAGUUAGGGUUUUGUCCUUGAGCAAAGUUAUUGAACUGAAAAGAAAAGUUGAGCCUUAAAAACACCAGGAAUUUCAUUUAGGCUAACAGAUAUGAUUGUAG
Molecule: long non-coding RNA, 662 nt
Filed under: Olea europaea subsp. europaea
Lineage: Eukaryota; Viridiplantae; Streptophyta; Magnoliopsida; Lamiales; Oleaceae
Source: RNAcentral